UACGGAGGAUGCAAGCGUUAUCCGGAAUUAUUGGGCGUAAAGCGUCCGCAGGUGGCUGUGUAAGUCUGCUGUCAAAGAGCAAAGCUCAACUUUGUAAAGGCAGUGGAAACUACACGGCUAGAGUGCGUUCGGGGCAGAGGGAAUUCCUGGUGUAGCGGUGAAAUGCGUAGAGAUCAGGAAGAACACCGGUGGCGAAGGCGCUCUGCUAGGCCGCAACUGACACUGAGGGACGAAAGCUAGGGGAGCGAACAGG
This 253-nucleotide ribosomal RNA is filed under the name uncultured bacterium. Its description in RNAcentral is "partial 16S ribosomal RNA". It matches the Rfam family "Bacterial small subunit ribosomal RNA", at positions 524 to 776 of the family's 1533-position model. The record is from RNAcentral.